AGUGAACGCUGGCGGUAGGCCUAACACAUGCAAGUCGAACGGCAGCACAGUAAGAGCUUGCUCUUACGGGUGGCGAGUGGCGGACGGGUGAGGAAUACAUCGGAAUCUACUUUUUCGUGGGGGAUAACGUAGGGAAACUUACGCUAAUACCGCAUACGACCUACGGGUGAAAGCAGGGGAUCUUCGGACCUUGCGCGAUUGAAUGAGCCGAUGUCGGAUUAGCUAGUUGGCGGGGUAAAGGCCCACCAAGGCGACGAUCCGUAGCUGGUCUGAGAGGAUGAUCAGCCACACUGGAACUGAGACACGGUCCAGACUCCUACGGGAGGCAGCAGUGGGGAAUAUUGGACAAUGGGCGCAAGCCUGAUCCGGCCAUACCGCGUGGGUGAAGAAGGCCUUCGGGUUGUAAAGCCCUUUUGUAGGGAAAGAAAAGCAGCAGGUUAAUACCCCGCUGUUCUGACGGUACCCAAAGAAUAAGCACCGGCUAACUUCGUG
Molecule: ribosomal RNA, 492 nt
Filed under: uncultured bacterium
Lineage: Bacteria
Description: partial 16S ribosomal RNA
Rfam family: Bacterial small subunit ribosomal RNA
Source: RNAcentral